UACGUAGGGUGCGAGCGUUAAUCGGAAUUAUUGGGCGUAAAGCGUCCGCAGGUGGCGAUUCAAGUCUGCGGUCAAAGACUGGGGCUUAACCCUGGAAAGGCCGUGGAAACUGAAUAGCUAGAGUGCAGUAGGGGUAGAGGGAAUUCCCGGUGUAGCGGUGAAAUGCGUAGAGCUCGGGAAGAACAUCGGUGGCGAAAGCGCUCUGCUGGACUGCAACUGACACUCAGGGACGAAAGCUAGGGGAGCGAAUGGG
This 253-nucleotide ribosomal RNA is filed under the name uncultured bacterium. Its description in RNAcentral is "partial 16S ribosomal RNA". It matches the Rfam family "Bacterial small subunit ribosomal RNA", at positions 524 to 776 of the family's 1533-position model. The record is from RNAcentral.